GGUGAGUAACGCGUGAGAAUCUGCCUUCAGGUUGGGGACAACAGUUGGAAACGACUGCUAAUACCCAAUGUGCCGAGAGGUGAAAGCUUUAGUGCCUGAAGAUGAGCUCGCGUCUGAUUAGCUAGUUGGUGGGGUAAUGGCCUACCAAGGCGACGAUCAGUAGCUGGUCUGAGAGGAUGAUCAGCCACACUGGGACUGAGACACGGCCCAGACUCCUACGGGAGGCAGCAGUGGGGAAUUUUCCGCAAUGGGCGCAAGCCUGACGGAGCAAGACCGCGUGAGGGAGGAAGGCUCUUGGGUUGUAAACCUCUUUUAUCAGGGAAGAAGAUCUGACGGUACCUGAUGAAUCAGCAUCGGCUAACUCCGUGCCAGCAGCCGCGGUAAUACGGAGGAUGCAAGCGUUAUCCGGAUUUAUUGGGCGUAAAGCGUCCGCAGGUGGU
RNAcentral lists this ribosomal RNA (440 nucleotides) under uncultured Pseudanabaena sp. Its description in RNAcentral is "bacterial SSU rRNA". It matches the Rfam family "Bacterial small subunit ribosomal RNA", at positions 105 to 579 of the family's 1533-position model. Lineage: Bacteria; Bacillati; Cyanobacteriota; Cyanophyceae; Pseudanabaenales; Pseudanabaenaceae. The record is from RNAcentral.